RNAcentral lists this long non-coding RNA (879 nucleotides) under Cavia porcellus (domestic guinea pig). RNAcentral describes it as "lncRNA (ENSCPOG00000031221.1)". The record is from RNAcentral. Lineage: Eukaryota; Metazoa; Chordata; Mammalia; Rodentia; Caviidae.
GCCCCCUCUCCAGCCUGUGCCACUGAGGGUCUCCAGAAGACUCCUGCAUUCAAGACAAGACCUCUGGUGCCCUCUGCCCCCUGCCUUACUUUCUUACUGCUGAGACAAUGUACCCCACUCCUACACGUUAUAGGGGCAUGGUUCGCUUCAGAUCAGUUUGUAGAGGUCCCAGUCCACUGGAAGCAAGGCAGGGAGGCCUGGCAGGGCCGUUACAGAGGACAGACAGUCCAUGGCAAGGCAGGCAGGAAGCAGCAAGUAGCAGCCUCCCCUCUUCACCGCAUUCAGGCUGUGAGGCUGUUGGUGAAUCCCACUCACACCCAGGCUGGGUCUGCUGUCUUCCCUAAUCCACUCAGCCACACCCAGAACAGCAGAGUGAUCCAGGCAUCACACCCUGCAGCUAAGGUCACACACCCAUUUCCAGCCACCUCCCACAAAGAUCACCUGGGAGUACAUGAGGAUUUGGGUUAUCUAGACAUAAGGCAUAACACCCCCCUUACCCCAUUUCAGGGUGUGGGGCUCAGGCAGCCCCUUAUGUUCCACAAUGCACAUGUAAUUCUCUUCCUCUCCAGAAGGUACCACCACAGACACCCACUUCUGGAAGGUUCCAUCUCCUGCAGGCCUGGUCUCCACCAGCUCCAGCUCCUGGGUCAGUUCCUGCCCAUCCCACUGCCAGGUCAGGGAGAUGUCCUUAGGGUAGAAGCCCAGGGCCCAGCACCGCAGGGUGACCUGAUCCUUGGAGAAGAGGUGGCGGGUCACGUGUGUCUCUGGGGAAUCUGAGGGGAAGAGGGGAAAUUUUAGGCUCUUUGUAUUCUUCCUGGGUCACUCCAGCAAAGGUUCCUGUGACCAUCCUGAGAACCUUAAGGACAAGUGGAGUUGGGG